This 270-nucleotide ribosomal RNA is filed under the name uncultured bacterium. RNAcentral describes it as "partial 16S ribosomal RNA". It matches the Rfam family "Bacterial small subunit ribosomal RNA", at positions 524 to 776 of the family's 1533-position model. The record is from RNAcentral.
UACGUAGGGGGCGAGCGUUGUCCGGAGUUACUGGGCGUAAAGGGCGCGCAGGCGGUCUGGCAAGUUUGGAGUGACAGUGCUCGGCUUAACUGAGCAAGGCCUUCGAAAACUGCUAGACUUGAGCACUCAAGAGGGACAUAGAAUUCCGGGUGGAGUGGUGAAAUGCGUAGAAUGAUCCGGACGGGAAAGAUUACCCAAAAGGGGCGAAAGGGCCUAGUGUCCUGGGGAGUGUCUGACGCUCAGGCGCGAAAGCUAGGGGGAGCGAACAGG